AUGGAAUCGAUUCUCUCAUGGGUUUUCCUUGUUGCUCUUUUAAAAGGUGUCCAGUGUGAGGUGCAGCUAAUGGAGUCAGGGGGAGACCUGGUGAAGCCUGGGGCAUACCUGAGGCUCUCCUGUGCAGCGUCUGGAUUCACCUUCAGUAGCUACAAGAUGAACUGGUUCCGCCAAGUUCCAGGGAAGGGCCUGCAGUGUGUCACAUGGAUUAGAUAUGAUGGAAGUAGCACAAGCUACAAAGACUCUGUGAAGGGUCAAUUCACUAUCUCCAGAGACAACAGCAAGAACACACUGUAUCUGCAGAUGAACAGCCUGAGAGCAGAGGACACAGCCGUGUAUUAUUGUGUGAAAGACACACUUAUCUAUGUGUAUGGUGCAAGAGAAUG
Non-coding RNA from Lontra canadensis (Northern American river otter), 386 nucleotides. The record is from the annotation of a RefSeq genome assembly. NCBI's taxonomy places the organism in Eukaryota, Metazoa, Chordata, Mammalia, Carnivora, Mustelidae.